This 207-nucleotide unclassified non-coding RNA is filed under the name Hevea brasiliensis (rubber tree). The record is from RNAcentral. Lineage: Eukaryota; Viridiplantae; Streptophyta; Magnoliopsida; Malpighiales; Euphorbiaceae.
GUAACCCAGUACAUCUCAGCUUACACCAUUGAUCAUACUUGUAAGGAUAGAUUUGAGAGCCUCAGAUCAAAAGUAAAUAACAGAUUUGGUACUUUUCAUUCCCGGCCCUUGGAUCGGUUCUGUAAGGAAGGACUCCUAAUGAAAGGACAGAAAUUAUGAACUAAAUCACAACCUUCAAUUUUGAUUCUCUUCAAUUCUGAGACGUCG